CGCGGCCAUCCUUUACUACCUGUGCCGCAAGUACAGCGCACCAUCGCACUGGUGCCCGCCAGACCCGCACGCACGUGCCCGUGUGGAUGAGUUCGUGGCUUGGCAACACACGGCCUUUCAGCUGCCCAUGAAGAAGAUAGUCUGGCUCAAGUUGCUGAUCCCAAAGAUAACAGGGGAGGAAGUUUCAGCUGAGAAGAUGGAGCAUGCAGUGGAAGAGGUGAAGAACAGCCUGCAGCUCUUCGAGGAGAAGUUUCUGCAGGAUAAGAUGUUCAUCACCGGGAACCAAAUCUCACUGGCUGACUUGGUGGCCGUGGUGGAGAUGAUGCAGCCCAUGGCAGCCAACUAUAAUGUCUUCCUCAACAGCUCCAAGCUAGCUGAGUGGCGUAUGCGGGUGGAGCUCAAUAUCAGCUCUGGCCUCUUUAGGGAGGCCCAUGAUCGACUAAUGCAGUUGGCCGACUGGGACUUUUCAACACUGGAUUCAAUGGUCAAGGAGAAUAUUUCUGAGUUGCUGAAGAAGAGCAGGUGA
Homo sapiens (human) is the source of this 526-nucleotide RNA transcript. It is a transcript of the gene named glutathione S-transferase theta-4-like, with no coding region annotated. The record is from RefSeq and is marked validated. NCBI's taxonomy places the organism in Eukaryota, Metazoa, Chordata, Mammalia, Primates, Hominidae. The transcript is spliced from 3 exons.